GACGAACGCUGGCGGCGUGCUUAACACAUGCAAGUCGAACGGACAGGCCCUGAUUUUGUGGCGUGCUCGAGUGGCGAACGGGUGUGUAUCACGUGUGUAACCUGCCCUUGACUUUGUGAUAACUUCUGGAAACUGGGGCUAAUAUCGGAUAGGAUCUCCUGCUGCAUGGUGGUGGUUGGAUAGUUUCGGCGGUUGGGUAUGGACUCGCGGCGUACCAGCUUGUUGGUGGAGUAGUGGCUUACCAAGGUUUUGACGGGUAGCCGGCCUGAGAGAGUGACCGGCCACAUAGGGACUGAGGUACGGCCCAGACUGCUACGGGAGGCAGCAGGGGGGAAGAUUGCAGGAGGGGCGGAAGCCGGAUGCAGCAACGCCGCGUGCGGGAUGACUGCCUUCGGGGGGUAAAACGCUUUCGCCUGUGACGAAGCGUGAGUGACGGUAAUGGGUAAAGAAGCACCGGCUAACUACGUG
Molecule: ribosomal RNA, 468 nt
Filed under: uncultured bacterium
Lineage: Bacteria
Description: partial 16S ribosomal RNA
Rfam family: Bacterial small subunit ribosomal RNA
Source: RNAcentral